RNAcentral lists this long non-coding RNA (5343 nucleotides) under Capsella rubella. Its description in RNAcentral is "long non-coding RNA (CRUB_LNC001462)". Lineage: Eukaryota; Viridiplantae; Streptophyta; Magnoliopsida; Brassicales; Brassicaceae. The record is from RNAcentral.
UUUUUUUUUCUUUCAAUUUGAGUGGUUUUUGUUUUUUAUAACCAAGUGUUAUUUAUCAAAAUCUAGUCAAAUAACAUAUACCAGAAAACUAAUUGUGAAAAUAUUGUUAGUCAAUUAAGUAAUUCUAUUUAUAGCUAACAUUUACAUGCACUGACACAUAUUUUUAUGUCUAAAAUAAAUGUUACUAGACCUAGGCACCUAGCUAUGUAGUUUUCUCAAAAAAUACAUUACUAGUGUUCCUUUAUAGUUGGUAUGAUAAAUCUCUAGACAUUAAACUAAUUAAAGGUCUAAAAACGUGUCUCUCAUACUAAGUGUCAUAUUAUCAUAUACAACAACUCAAAAAGUUAAAACACAAAUUGACAAAAUCAUGAGAAAAAUGCCAAAUGCAUAACUUUUCCUAGUUAUCUUCCUACACAUUGCUAUCGUCUUUAUUUCUUGAAUAGUUUCCUAGUGAUUUCAUUUGAAAAUAACAAUAAACUGAAUUUAAGAAAUAAAUUAUAUGUUAUUUAUUCCUGCAAGUGUUUUGUUCUGCGUUUACUAGUUCAUGGCGGCCAUAAACUCGAAGAUUUAGUCAAACAUCUUUGUUCUCUAAUCUUUCCAAAGACUUUCAAAAACAUAUAUGCAUAUGCUUAGUCAUUGCAUAUAAUAAUUACAAAUCAUUGAAUCCCAAAUUUAUUAAUCUUAUUGUUUAAAGACAAACAAAACCAAUAAGGUUUCGUCGUUACCCACUACCAUUGUUUCAGUUCAUUACAAAACACAACAAACACAUCAUCCAUUUCAUAAGAUCUUACGACAUCUCUCUGAAUUCUUCUUCAAUAUUUGUUACUCCGAUCAAAAGAUCUCGGAAUAAUGGGAGCGUACAGAGCCGACGACGACUAUGAUUACCUCUUUAAACUAGUCUUGAUCGGAGACUCCGGCGUCGGGAAAUCAAACCUUUUGUCUCGAUUCACAAGAAACGAAUUCAGCAUCGAGUCAAAGUCAACUAUCGGCGUAGAGUUCGCCACAAGAAGCGUUCAUGUCGACGAGAAAAUCAUUAAAGCUCAGCUUUGGGACACGGCCGGUCAAGAGAGGUAACAAAUCCUCGAGACUUCUCUGUUUUAUCUUCCGCUCUGUUUCUUUCUUUAUCUAUAUUUUAGUUAUACUCUGUUUCUACGGCUCUGUUUUUGAGCAAUUUCGUUUUGUUGUGAUACAGAUACAGAGCAAUCACGAGUGCAUACUACAGAGGAGCAGUGGGGGCACUUCUAGUAUACGACAUAACCCGACACAUAACGUUUGAAAACGUUGAAAGAUGGCUCAAGGAGCUUCGUGACCAUACCGAUGCAAACGUUGUGAUCAUGCUUGUUGGAAACAAAGCCGAUCUUCGCCACCUUCGCGCAGUCCCUACAGACGAAGCUAGAGCGUUUUCUGAGAGAGAGAACAUGUUCUUCAUGGAAACUUCUGCUUUGGAUGCUACAAACGUCGAGCAAGCUUUCACUCAUGUAUUGACUCAGAUCUAUCGUGUAAUGAGCCGUAAAGCACUUGAUGGUACUGGAGAUCCGAUGUCUUUACCUAAAGGACAGACCAUUGAUAUCGGAAACAAGGAUGAUGUUACCGCUGUUAAAUCCUCUGGCUGUUGCUCAGGUUGAGAUUAUUGUUCUUGUUUUUGUAAACUGUCUUUUUUGGAAGAAGGUUUUGGUUUUGAAUUUGGAUUUGUUGUAUCUGACUUUUUUGGGAAAUCAGACCGGUUUGGUUUUACAAUACAAACCGAAAUUUGUAUGAGACUGGACAAGACUUGGUCUGCUUAAUAAGUUCGUUUUAGUCGUGAAUAGGGCGAUAAACGUUUGAACCGAAUCAAUUAAAUUGAACCACGCAAACUAAUACUACUUAAGAGUUCAGUUAUAUUGUUCUUACAGAAUCAAAUUCGGUUAACCAAACCUAUAAAAAUUUAUUCGAAAUAUCAAAUAUGCAUGUCCACCCGUAAACAUGUUAAUUUGGGUGUAAAACGUAUUAAUGACGAAUUAGGGAGGUAGUUUAUGGUGUGUGUGUGUUAUAAUUGUCCUAAUAAGUAAUAACAAUGAAUGGACUAAGAGAAAUAUUAAGUUAUUUAUGAACAGAAAUCAAAGUGGAAGAAGAGCACAAAGGAAAUCUAAAACUUACCACAAACCCAAAAGCAAAGAAGAAGGUAGUAGAAGUAUACCUUUUUCCACACGGAAGCAAGUUAGGUCCACCGUCCAAAUUAAGUAUGACAAGAUCUUUCCUUCCAAGUCUCAGGAUGUUUAUUGUUUCGUGCACUUGACAAUCAUCAUAAUAUUCAUGCGAAUAUGAUCAUUUAUUUACUAAAAUCAUGAGCUAUGAUAGUUGUUUAUUACCGAAGAAAUGAGAGCAAUGCACCAAAGAGAAUCACCAAGCAACGAUUAAAAUCAUAUCAAUACGAAACCGUUACUAAAGACCUAACUUUUGAGCUUUUCCUCUCCCUUUUUUUUUCUUUACGUUCUUAGAAAAUUAUUUUGAAUUUUUUUUAUAACCGAAAUGUCUAACGUGCAGGUCUCAAUGCAUGAUAUUUCGUAAUUUAACAAUUAAAAUGAUGAUAUAAUUUUUUUUUUUUUGGGUUAAAAAUGAUGAUAUAAUUAUUAUAUCUAAAUAAAGAUUCUUGUAAAAGGAACCAUCAAGGUGAAAAGAAACGAAAACUCGUGGGUUGACUAAGCACUUUACGUUAAUUCAACAUAUGAUUACCCAAUUAAUAUAAAUUACUUAUUCUAUUUGUUAGACCUUACUUGACCUCCACGACGGAUUAGUCAUAUUUUUAUAAAUUUUACGAAGAUAAUGUUUAUCAACCACUUUAAAACCGAGUAUACAUGCAUGCUCGAUAUCAAUGUUAAUUAAUUUAAACGAUUACAGAAAUGAUGUUAUAAUAAUCCCACUAGAUUGUAAUUUACGAAUUUUGAAAUACAUUACACACCCAGAAACAAAAACAAAAAGAUUUAGUAAACGACAUGGAGGAGAAUUGUUCAUAUGAAAUUUAGAUGUUAAAAAAACGUAUGAUUAUAUUAAAACAAGAAUAAGUAUAAUCCCCUUUUAAUUAAACAAAAGUGUGGAAAGAACAUGCUUCACUUAAACAAAGACUUUGGUUUGGUCUCAAAGGUUACUUGCAAGGAAUAAGAAAAGUGUAAAGCUUCUUUUUUUUUUUUUUUCUCUCACGUUGCUCUCUCAUUAUAUAUCCUCUACUUUUAGAUUUCCUCAUCAUUCUUUCUUACAUCAAAUCAUUUCCUAAGAAUCAGAGACAAACAUAGAGACAAAGAAAAGCAACUUCAGAGACAGAUAUGGAGAUCAAAGUUGAUGAAGAUCAUCAAAAGAGUACAAAAGAAGAAGAGAUCAAAAAGCCACUUCUUGAACAAGACAAAGACUUUCCUGAUAUAGAAAGAACAACAUGGAUACAAAAGGCAAUAGGUCAAACGUUCCAAACCACUGCUCAUUUAGCUAAUCUCUUACCAACAGGGACCGUUCUCGCGUUUCAGCUCUUAUCGCCAAUUUUCUCAAACGGCGGUCAAUGCGAUUUAGUGAGCAAGAUCAUGACAUCGACUCUAGUAGCAAUAUGUGGAUUCUCUUGCUUCAUAUACAGCUUCACGGAUUCUUACAAAGACAAAAACGGCACUAUUUGCUACGGAUUCGCAACGUUCCACGGGUUUUGGAUCAUCGAUGGAUCCACGACUCUUCCUCAAGAACUAUCUAAGAGAUACAAGCUAAGGUUCAUAGAUUUUGUUCACGCCUUCAUGUCAUUUUUCGUGUUUGGCGCCGUGGUUUUAUUCGACCGGAACGCUGUGAACUGUUUCUUUCCAGCACCGUCAGCUGAAGCGUUGGAGGUUCUCACCGCGUUGCCUGUAGGCGUAGGAGUGUUUUGUAGUAUGUUGUUUGCAACAUUUCCUACAACACGCAACGGAAUUGGUUUCCCACUUUCUAGCAAAUGAUUUGAUUACUUGUAACUUUGAUCUAUCGAUGUAACUUGUGUGUGAUUCAAGAUUCUCUUUGAUGAUCUCUUGAAAGAGACUUCUCCUAUACUGUUUCUUGUAUUCAAGCUAAUAAUAUAAAGGGUACGGUAUUGUUGCUAUAAUAGUGAAUCAAAAAAGCAAUAAAAGAGAGGUAAUUAAGAUUACCUCAAGACAUCUGCCACUAGGUGGUGGUGUGAUGAGUUUGAACAACCGAUUGAAUUAUCUAGUUGCACAUUGCACAGUUUAAAUUUAAAGCAGAGGAUUAACUCUGCCGACGAAGUACCCAUUGGAACCCUAGUGUGUGAGACUUGUUAGGUGACACAACCACUAGGAAAGUAUUGAAUUAGUGUCCUAAUCUUUAAUUAAAUUGUACUAAUUUGACCAAGGGAAAUAAGUAGAGUAACCUAAGAAUCCGGUUUAGGCUAGUUUGCUAAAUCAGAAACGAUUCAAGGUUAUCGAUUGAUGCAUUAGCAUCUUACUCAUCAAGCCAUCAUUAAUUCGAGAUCAGUGUGUUGUUUUUUUUUAAUGUUGUUCGACGAGAGUAGAGUGUUCGUUCUUGUGGGUUUUGGUUUACUCUUGGUUUUGUGACACAGUCUCUUGAAUCUCUAUUGUCUUCUUCGACAUAUUUCAAAUCUCUGUUUCCUGGAAAACAGAUUCAGUUAUGGGUUUUUCUAAAGAUUCAUGAUUUCACAGUUGUAAAUUCUGUAAUCAUCACUAAUAAUUAACUAAAAAGAGAGGUAAUUUAGAUAUAACAGGUUCCUUUGUCCAAAAAAAAAAAAAAGAUAUAACAGGGUCCCGGUUUAUUACAUCGGUUCUUUAAUUAGUUUUACAAACCAGAAACAACAAUUCGGGUUCGAGGAUUGCAUCGUCGUCAACACCGUAUGAUUGUCUGAUCUGGGUUUUUUAUUUUCUAAAGAACUUUCAGAGUUCUUUGAUUGGAAUCUAGUGGAUAAAAAUGGAGAGAUGAAUAACGAUUUCAGAGUUCAAUCAUGUAGAGAAAGGCAAAAGAAAAACAAAAGAGAGGUAAUUUAGAUUACCUCAUUUAGGUCUAUCCAACCACAGCGGUGGAAGACGACAACAUCCGACGAGGAGUUUGAGUCAACCUCGGGAGAAAGGGCGCUCCAGAUUAAACUGGGAAGGUUUACAUUCCACUACGGGAAGAAGAUGCGCCCGGAGGCGGCUUAGUAGACCAUCCUCGAGGCUUAGUGCUCGGAGGACGGUAGAAGUUUCACGAGCAAUGAUGCUCGGACAGUAGAAGGUUCUCGAGGCAUAUGAUGCUCGGAUGAAGCCAACUUGGGUACCAAUAUUGCUCGAACCCUGGUGGGAGUCGUGCUCAGCUGAGCCUCAACCACCUUGACCAGGUUCGAAUUGGUGUCCU